RNAcentral lists this long non-coding RNA (542 nucleotides) under Equus asinus (donkey). RNAcentral's name for it is "lncRNA (ENSEASG00005027418.1)". The record is from RNAcentral. Lineage: Eukaryota; Metazoa; Chordata; Mammalia; Perissodactyla; Equidae.
GUGAGUCAUCAGCGUUAGUUCUGGUGCGGUACGGCCCCGGCUCUUUGCCUGGUUCCGUCCUCCAGGAGCGCAGGAUGAGCAAGACCGCACCCGGGGGAUCAGGCUGUGGUCCAAUCGAGGGUAAAAUUCCACGUGCCCCGGUUUCAGACUGGCGCUGGGAAGUUAGGAGUAGAACAAGUUUCUGUGGGUCAGGAACUUGGGAGCUAAAUUCUGGUUCAGGGCCUCCCAUAAAGUUGCGUGAAGAUGUCACCUGGGGCUGUGAUCAUCUGAAGGCCUGACUGGUGCUGGAGAAUCCACUCCCUGGGGGACUCACUCACGUGACUGGCAAUUACCAAAAUGCUUUUACCUACGAGGGAAACUUCAUUGGCGCUCUGACAAGCCUAUAACAGAAAUAGUUUUGAAUAACUUGUUAGUGUCUUCAGAUCUCACCACAAUGGGAGCCAUCCUAUAUCACCUAUUGAGAGGACCACUGACCUUUCCAUUUACUUGUGUACUGUCCUCUAUUAAACUCAAGACUAAGGUGGGUAAAGAUCGUAAAAGAG